AGCGCGCCCCGACCUGAGUGGAGCUCUUUUUCUGUUAUUGCGAUUGUACAAAAGGCCGACAGAUUGCUUCUCUUUGUUCGCAAUGACAGAAAAAAGCGGGAACGGAGGGCGGAUAAAGGC
RNAcentral lists this unclassified non-coding RNA (120 nucleotides) under Epilithonimonas zeae. RNAcentral describes it as "Chryseobacterium zeae Flavo-1 RNA". The record is from RNAcentral. Lineage: Bacteria; Pseudomonadati; Bacteroidota; Flavobacteriia; Flavobacteriales; Weeksellaceae.